GACGAACGCUGGCGGCGUGCUUAACACAUGCAAGUCGAAUGGAAAGGCCCUGCUUUUGUGGGGUGCUCGAGUGGCGAACGGGUGAGUAACACGUGAGUAACCUGCCCUUGACUUUGGGAUAACUUCAGGAAACUGGGGCUAAUACCGGAUAGGAGCUCCUGCUGCAUGGUGGGGGUUGGAAAGUUUCGGCGGUUGGGGAUGGACUCGCGGCUUAUCAGCUUGUUGGUGGGGUAGUGGCUUACCAAGGCUUUGACGGGUAGCCGGCCUGAGAGGGUGACCGGCCACAUUGGGACUGAGAUACGGCCCAGACUCCUACGGGAGGCAGCAGUGGGGAAUAUUGCACAAUGGGCGGAAGCCUGAUGCAGCAACGCCGCGUGCGGGAUGACGGCCUUCGGGUUGUAAACCGCUUUCGCCUGUGACGAAGCGUGAGUGACGGUAAUGGGUAAAGAAGCACCGGCUAACUACGUGCCUGCAGCCGCGGUGAUACGUAGGGUGCGAGCGUUGUCCGGAUUUAUUGGGCGUAAAGGGCUCGUAGGUGGUUGAUCGCGUCGGAAGUGUAAUCUUGGGGCUUAACCCUGAGCGUGCUUUCGAUACGGGUUGACUUGAGGAAGGUAGGGGAGAAUGGAAUUCCUGGUGGAGCGGUGGAAUGCGCAGAUAUCAGGAGGGACACCAGUGGCGAAGGCGGUUCUCUGGGCCUUUCCUGACGCUGAGGAGCGAAAGCGUGGGGAGCGAACAGGCUUAGAUACCCUGGUAGUCCACGCUGUAAACGGUGGGUACUAGGUGUGGGGUCCAUUCCACGGGUUCCGUGCCGUAGCUAACGCUUUAAGUACCCCGCCUGGGGAGUACGGCCGCAAGGCUAAAACUCAAAGGAAUUGACGGGGCCCCGCACAAGCGGCGGAGCAUGCGGAUUAAUUCGAUGCAACGCGUAGAACCUUACCUGGGUUUGACAUGGAUCGGGAGCGCUCAGAGAUGGGUGUGCCUCUUUUGGGGUCGGUUCACAGGUGGUGCAUGGCUGUCGUCAGCUCGUGUCGUGAGAUGUUGGGUUAAGUCCCGCAACGAGCGCAACCCUUGUUCACUGUUGCCAGCACGUUAUGGUGGGGACUCAGUGGAGACCGCCGGGGUCAACUCGGAGGAAGGUGGGGAUGACGUCAAGUCAUCAUGCCCCUUAUGUCCAGGGCUUCACGCAUGCUACAAUGGCUGGUACAGAGAGUGGCGAGCCUGUGAGGGUGAGCGAAUCUCGGAAAGCCGGUCUCAGUUCGGAUUGGGGUCUGCAACUCGACCUCAUGAAGUCGGAGUCGCUAGUAAUCGCAGAUCAGCAACGCUGCGGUGAAUACGUUCCCGGG
This 1343-nucleotide ribosomal RNA is filed under the name uncultured bacterium. RNAcentral describes it as "16S ribosomal RNA". It matches the Rfam family "Bacterial small subunit ribosomal RNA", at positions 28 to 1378 of the family's 1533-position model. The record is from RNAcentral.